AGAUGGAGUGGCUCAACACUUUGAUUGUAUUGAUGAACACAAAGGAUAUAAAUACAUGUACAGAUGCCUUCAGCAGAGCAGCUAACUCCUACAAUCUAGCCAACAAACUACUGAAUAAGCUGCCAACGAACUACUAAGAUAAGUUAGAGACGUUGGGAUAAACUAGAUCAGCUAACCAAUACUAACGGCUUGUACAAACGUGCAAGACAAGUCACGUUACUAACAGUCAGCACCCGUGGGCCAAGUUCGCAGCCCAGAAAAAAAGAUUGCUUCGAUCCCGAUUCCUGCUGCCUGCGUUGUUUCGCCCCUGUUUCGCCUGCCCGUCCACUUGCCUUCCCUGUUCCUGGGGCCUGCGCUACUUCGCCUUCCCUGCCGGUCCUCCCCCGUCCGACAGUGCGUUACUUCUUCAGUUUUUCCUCUCCCCAUUCAUCUUCCAUUAAUUCUGUAACCGAAGCUUCCAUGAAUUAAUUAAGGACCGCCCCUCUUCCCGGUGGUUUACUAAUCUCCCCACUUUCCUCCUCUUCACUCGCUGCCUUUAAUCUUCAGCUGGAAGGAAGUGGACAGUCCGCUUCCGAAGUCACGCUGAUAGAGAUCGAGAGGAUCUCUCCUGCCUCUUCUCCGGCGGCGCCCGGGUCACCUUCCAGCGGCCCGCCUAUCGCGUCCGCACCUGGGACACGCUGGACGCCGUGGCCCGCUCCGUCUUCGUGGGGCUCAUCACAUACCGGGAUACCGCCGCCGCCAAAAACAUCUCCGACCCCAACUAGGUCGCCGUUGGGCAGGAGCUCUGGAUCCCCUUGGCCUGCAGCUGCGACCCUGUCGACGGCAUGCCCGUAGUGCAUUACGCCUACGUCGUGCCGGCCGGGAGCUUUGUGGCUGGCAUCGUGCAGGAGUAUGGCACCACGGAGGCGGCGAUUCUGGCCUUGAGCCGCUUGGCCAACGACAAGAGCCUUCUCGCCUGACAGGUACUUCAGAUUAUGUCCACAUGAAGUCUUGAUCACCAGAUUUUGCAGAAGAAUGAGGAUGAUUGAUACUGUUCAGGUGCAAAUAAAGGACUUGGAGACUAUUAUCUUCUCUAUAUAUGUAUGCAGGUGAUUCUGUCGCAAGAUUUGUGACUUUGUUUUUCUCUCUCUCAACAUCUUUCCAGUCUUCUACUAUUUCUCCAAGGAUUUCUUUCAUUAAUUGGACUUCUCUUUGUACCAUGCUUAUGUGGCCAUUUUACACCUUGCGGGUGAUUUGUUUGCAGUGGCAGUUUAUAAUGAGCGGCAGAACUUUAUUGUAUAGGUUUUCAAUUCUAGAUCCCUUUCUAAUUGUCCACGAUCACAUGCUUUAUUCUCUGACUAUCUGUUUUUUA
This is a long non-coding RNA of Brachypodium distachyon (stiff brome), 1351 nucleotides long. RefSeq lists it as uncharacterized. The transcript is spliced from 2 exons. The record is from RefSeq and is a predicted model, not a curated record. NCBI's taxonomy places the organism in Eukaryota, Viridiplantae, Streptophyta, Magnoliopsida, Poales, Poaceae.